Molecule: ribosomal RNA, 753 nt
Filed under: uncultured bacterium
Lineage: Bacteria
Description: bacterial SSU rRNA
Rfam family: Bacterial small subunit ribosomal RNA
Source: RNAcentral
UGGCUUCGGCUGGGCGAGUAAAGUGGCGAACGGGUGAGUAACACGUGGGCAAUCUGCCCUUAAGUGCGGGAUAAGCCUUCGAAAGGAGGCCUAAUACCGUAUAAUGUCUUUAAACGGCAUCGUUUUUUGAUCAAAGACGGGGUAACCUGUCGCUUAAGGAUGAGCCCGCGCUCCAUUAGCUUGUUGGCAGGGUAAUGGCCUACCAAGGCUCUGAUGGAUAGCCGGCCUGAGAGGGUGAACGGCCACACUGGGACUGAGAUACGGCCCAGACUCCUACGGGAGGCAGCAGUAGGGAAUAUUGCGCAAUGGACGAAAGUCUGACGCAGCAACGCCGCGUGGAUGAUGAAGCAUUUCGGUGCGUAAAAUCCUGUCAGUGGGGACGAAACGGUUGGGUAGUAACUGCCCCGGCCCUGACGGUACCCACAGAGGAAGUUCCGGCUAACUCCGUGCCAGCAGCCGCGGUAAUACGGGGGGAACGAGCGUUGUUCGGAUUUACUGGGCGUAAAGGGCGUGCAGGCGGAUUAGCAAGUCAGAGGUGAAAACCGUAGGCUUAACCUACGGCCUGCCCUUGAAACUGCCAAUCUUGAGUACGGGAGAGGAAAGCGGAAUUCCAGGUGUAGCGGUGACAUGCCUAGAUAUCUGGAAGAACAUCGGUGGCGAAGGCGGCUUUCUGGACCGAUACUGACGCUGAGGCGCGAAAGCCAGGGGAGCAAACAGGAUUAGAUACCCUGGUAGUCCUGGCUGUAAACGAUG